Long non-coding RNA from Tympanuchus pallidicinctus (lesser prairie-chicken), 8349 nucleotides. RefSeq lists it as uncharacterized. The transcript is spliced from 4 exons. NCBI's taxonomy places the organism in Eukaryota, Metazoa, Chordata, Aves, Galliformes, Phasianidae. The record is from RefSeq and is a predicted model, not a curated record.
GCACGGGGCCGCCCUCGCCGGGAGCCGGCCGGGGAGCGCGUCCGGAACGCCUAUGGCGCGGGGCCUGCGGGGCUGGGGCGGCUCUGCUCCUCAGCUGCGGCACCGCGCUGAAGCCCCGCGACUACUGCUAUUUAUACCGGCCGCUUCGUGCUUGCUGAAAUGCCUCACAGAUGUUUUGUAUAUCUGGCGUGAGGUUUUUUUUUUUUUGUUUGUUUGUUUUUUUCGGGUUACUUUUUUUCGCUGUCUUCAAAACUCUUGUUUUGAAGAACAAGUCUAUUGAGAAGUCGCUGAGGGAACUGGGGUUGUUCAGUCUGCGGAAGGGGAGGCUCAGGGGAAGCCUUAUCACUCCCUACAACUCUCUGAAAGGAGGUUGUGGAAGGUGGAGGUCGGCCGCUUCUGUCGGGUAACAGCGAUGGGGGGGGAGCCUCAAGUUGUGCCAGGGGAGCGCAGGUUGGAUAUGAAGAAAAACUUCUCUGAAAGAGUGCGAGUGCAUUGGCACAGGCUGCGCAGGGAGGAGGUGGAGUCACAGCUCCUGGGGUGUUCAAGAAGCGCGGAGAUGUGGUACUGAGGAACGAGGCUAGUGGGCACGGUGGAAUGGCUGAUGGAUGGGCCAGAUGAUCUUAGAGGUCUUUUCUAAUUGUAAUGAUUCUAAAUGUGUCUGCUGUAACAGGCGAAGUACUUAAUCAGUAUAAUUCUCUCCUGGAGAGGAGAGAGAAAGGGGUGGGGGGAAAAAAAAAGGCAGGGAUGUGACAGUGAGGUACAUGGACAGGGGCCAGCUGUCCGUGCUCAGCGCUGAGUGGAGCAGCCCGGAGCUGUGGCCAGAGCACAAAGCUGGGGGCUGCUGCUUGCUCUGUUCUGCCUUGAAUGAAAGCCGCUCUCUGCCUGCGGGAAGUGAUGGUGGGUCAAAAUUGAGCAGAAUCUCUAGGAUUCUUGGGGACAGCUAAACAUAGCAUAACUUCUCAAGGUACAAGUAUUUGCAGUGUAGACGCAUCAAUCUGAAAAAUGCAUGACUAAUAUGUCUGAAAUGUUUUCUGUUAAUGCUUUUGUGACUUGCUGCAUCAGAAGAAUAGCAAGCUCUUGUAAAGUGGAAGUGUCUUGUUUGAUGUGAAGAGCAAUGGAAUACUGUUCUUCUGUUCCUUUAACAGUAAUACUUGUGCUUCUGUUAAGUUCACUUGUAGACACUUCUGCAUUCAUUUUGAAACGUAACACACUUCAUGCUGGCUAUGAAUCCUGUAAAAAUCUUAAGUUCAUCAUAGAAAGCAUUUUCUCUUAACAAAAAAGUUUUGAGUUGUACUGUAAUACUUAUACAUGGUUAAAAUACUGCAUCACAGUUAACUGAUACAUUCAUUAACAUGUGGAAAUCAUGGGGCUUGCAGGGACAAGGAGCUGUCAAGAUGAGUAGUGCAAGUGAUUCGUUCAGUAGAUUUCAGCUUGCAGUACUUCCAAUGCAGUAAUAGCUCCCCACUUUGAGGUUCUGCAGUGCAAUUAUUGCUUCUGAUCCUAUGACUCUCUGAGUUCUAUGGGAUGCGCUCCACAACACUUGUGCCUCUCUGGCUUCAGCUGAAGCUCCUGAGUUCUGAUGAAGAGAGGUCUGCCUGCAGAGUGAACAGCUGUAGUAGGUGCUCUGCUUGUAUGGGUGUUCAGCCACAGUGUGUGAAAUGCUUUUCCCUGAAAGGAAGACUUCAGAUGUAACUUUGCUUCUGAGCUUAGCCUGCCUCACUGAAUUGUAUGAUUUUGUUCUUUCUUCCUAUGCCCCACCACAAGGAAGCUCAGUCUCAAAAAGUAGGACUUAUUUCAGAAAUCCAGAAAUAUAAUUAGUUUUUUUUUUUCCUACAGCUUGCCAAUGCCAGACCAUCUUUCAUUUGGGGCCAUUUUGGAAGCCUCCGAUUUUCCGUUUUGGAAUCCUCUGAUUUUCUUUCCUUGCUUGCCAGCUGAAUAAGAAGACAGGCUGUUGAGUACAGUUUAUGUGUUAAUUCACAGUGAGCCAAUAGAUGUGUAAUCUGAGGUGAUGCUUAAGAGAAAGAUGUCCUGGUUUGGUAGAAUACAGAAUUGACUACAUUAAGAAAAAUACAAAAGCAAAGUUCUGUUUCCAAACUGUAUAGUGCAAGUAUCAUAGAGUACAGGAUGGUGAACACUGACCAGCAGAGGCUAUUUUAUCCGUGAAAACGUGUCACACACAGCAACACCAUUCUCCAGCUCACCAGCCUUACUACAGGCAGUAUAGGCUCUGUAGUUUAGAGCAAAAUUGAAUCCCUGUGACUAUUGCAUCAGUAAGCAACUGGUGGUAGCUGAGAUCUUCACCUGUGCAAUGCUGAGGAGAUGUGAAAAAUGGGUUAAGAAAGAUGUCUCCUUCAAAGAAGGAGCCCCAUACAGUUACUUUUUUUUUUUUUUGAAGUUCAUUUUGUUGAUGUUCUUGAGGUACAGGUAAGGCAGUGUACUAUAUUGAGGUUGGAGUGGAAUUUGAUGGAUCUUCUAUAAUGUACUAAAUCAGUUUUUUUGUUUCUUUAACUGAGGAUCUUAAUGUUUUUAUUGGCUGGUAUUUGGAAUGGAUGUGUGCCUCUUAGGGAAGGGUUUGGGUUUGGCUUGGUAUUUUUUGUAGCUGAAGAUGUACCACAAAAAUGACAGGAUUGUUUGGAGGAGAAAAAUUAGUCAAGCUCAAUAGGCUGGGAGUAAUUUGGAGCUUGCCAAAUAUACUUCAAGUUUAGUGGGCAGUAAAAUGAAAUCUUGAGUGAUCAAGCUUGACUUGAAGGAAAUUACCUUAUGGUACUUUAGUGGUUUUCUAAUCUCUUUCAUAAAGCAUUAAUCAAAUCUAUCUUUUUUUUUUAGAAGGGACUUCUGUCGAAGAUGACUAAUAGCAAUGCAGUAAACUUAAACCUUUCAUACCCUGUAUAAAUAACUUACCAAUUUUGUGGAAGGGAAAAAUAACUACUUUCCAGUAGUGACUUAACAGUUCUAUCUUCAGAAUAACGUUAUAAUACCACAAAACAGAGAAAGCAUGUUCUAGUCUGCCAUUUUAAACUCUGUUUGCUUACUGCCUUGUAUAGAUUCUGAUUUUCUGCUGUUAAAGAUAUGGACUACACUUGUCACUUGUCUCUAGUGCUUCAGACUGAGCUGCUUCACAGCAGAACCUUUGCUGCUCUGCCAAACAUCAGCAGUCCCAUAGAUGAAGCAGCUGAGCUUAUCAUAUAGGGAAUAAAUUCUGUGCAUGAUAGGAUAGCAAAGGUGAGUGUGUGAGGAGGCUUAAGUACACACAGCUUAAGCUCAGAAGUGGUGUCAGUGGCUCAAGAAGGUGUUGGCUUUUUAGGGGCUGAGUUGUCUUACCAGGUCAAUAUUCUGGAAGAUUUGACUCUUUACUUGAGGCCAAAUGUUGGACCAUCGACCACUGUUGCUAUUUUUCACUUUGAGUGAGUUCAGUCUGUGAACUGGUCAUAAUUAAAGGUGUUCACAAAUAAAGUGUCUGAGAUGGCUUGGAAAGGAGGUUUUCAUUUCCUUUAAUUGAUGUUGCAGCUUGUAUAUUUUUUCCAUCCUCUGUGUUACAUAUGCUGUUUUUUUUCCAUUUUAAGUUAUGUAUUGUAUAAUGUUUGCAUAUAUCCAAUUUCUGUUCCAUGAACUUUUAUGGAGAGAAAUUAUUUUACUGUCUAUUGAAUAGUUAAGUAUUGCAUUGCUUAGAAAUACAUUCUGGAUGCUGUGAUGAGCCUUUAUUCACUUACUGAGAUUUGGAGGCUUAGGAAGCUAUACUGAUAUCUUUCUGCAUCAAUGACAGUUACUGUGCCAGGUCAGCUAUGAGCAUUUUGUCUUGCAGUUGUGGUGCAUCAGAUGUUUCUCUUCAGUCCUGCAAGCCCAACCAUUACCUCACCAUGAGCACUGGUACUGAGGCAAACACAUGAAGCUUAAAAUACAAAUAUGCAUCUCUCCCACAUUUUUGUUUUCAGUCUCUCCUUGACAGCUGUCCUAUCUCAUCCUCGUGAACAAUGAAGUUAUCUCCUCAAGCAGUCAGUCUGUUCUGGGUAUGUAUCCAUGGGCUUUUCUCAAGUGCAGGAAAUGACAAAGGCUCACGGGGCAGUGCAGAAAGAACAGCAUUUUCUGUGGACAGUCUGUGAGUUACCUGGUAAUGGCUGAUGCCCAUUGGACUGGAAAUCACUCGAGUUUGUGGAAGAUGCAACAUACCUUGAAACCCCUGUCAUAAUUGCAGUGGUAAAAUUCAAGUACAUUGCUGAACAUAGUUAAUAUGGAGAAAUGGUGUGGAGAAUUGAUUGGGAAAGCAGUUUUCUUGUCCUAGACUUUCUCCUGGCAGAGCUGGCUUGCCUGUAUCUCAGGGUGUGUGAGAGAGGAGCGAGCUUAGUGAAAUGAUUAAUUGGGAAAGAAAUCAGCUUGCUGUUUUUCAGAGCCUCAUUGAGGAGGGCAGAAAGGAGAAAACAAUAAGGUGUGGGUUUUUUUUUUUUUGGUUUUUUUUUUCAGGUCUGUAGUAACUUUCGGAGGCUUUUUUGGUGUUGUCUUUUUUCCUUCAUUGCUUCCUGCCAUACUGAAAAAGUGAGUUGUUAGAGCAGCUCAUCUGAACUGUACUGUGUCUAAAUGUACUGCCAAAUAGCAAGUUAGUAGGAGUGCUAGAAGAGCUCCGAAGAUCUCAUGAGAAAAUAGACCUUUUCAUUGUGUAUUUCUACAUUACAUGUGUAUAUAUAGUGGAAAUCUAUGAUUACUGUUGGGUGUUAUUUCUUUAUAACAUGCAUGUAAUAUGUAUUUGCUUACCUUUGAAAUAACGUCAUCCUACUUUGAUGUAUCUUCUUUAGGACUUUUUUUUUUUUUUCCAGACCAUGGGAACAGUGACCAUGUGUUCUUAUUGGAUGAAAGUGUUCCAGCAGUGUGCCCUUGUGGCCAAGAGGGCCAAUGGCAUCCUGGGGUGCAUUAAAAAGAGCAUGGCCAGCAGGUCGAGGGAGGUGAUCCUCCACCUCUACUCUGCCCUGGUGAGGCCUCAUCUGGAGUACUGUGUCCAGUUCUGGGCUCCCCAGUACAAAAAAGACAGGGAUCUCUUGGAAAGAGUCCAGCAGAGGGCCACAGAGAUGGUGAAGGGCCUGGAGCAUCUCUCCUAUGAAGAAAGGCUGAGUGAACUGGGUCUGUUCAGCCUUGAGAAAAGAAGACUGAGAGGGGACCUGAUCCAGGUCUAUAAAUAUCUAAGGUGUGGGGGGCAGAAUGGCGAGGCUGGACUCUUUUCAGUGGUGAGUGGAGACAGGACAAGGGGAAACGGCAGGAAACUGCAGCAUAGGAAGUUCUGCACAAAUGUGCGCAAGAAUUUCUUUACAGUGAGGUGACGGAGCACUGGAACAGGCUGCCCAGGGAGGUGGUGGAGUCUCCUUCUCUGGAGAUGUUCAAGAGCUGCCUGGAUGCCUACCUGUGCGACCUGCUGUAGGGAACCUGCUUUGGCAGGGGGGUUGGACUCAAUGAUCUCUGGAGGUCCCUUCCAACCCCUACAAUUCUGUGAUUCUGUGAAAGCAGUGAGGGUGUGUGCAUGGGGGUGGCCUGAGAGAAGGAGUGUUGAAUUAGAGCAACUUUGUAAUAACAAAAACACAUCAAUUUUUUUCUUUUAUCUGUUAGGAGUCAUCUCUAUUUAAGUGGUAAAUCAGUUUCUAACUUGAAUAGAAAAAUCUCUUUGUUCUGUUAUGUAUUUGGAGACUUAAUUUAUACCAGCCUGUUCUCUAAAAGGAAUCUUUUGUUCUGUUUCUUUAAAUGUGCAUUGAGAUAGUGAAUGCCUUCAUUAGUAAUUACAUGCAGCUUGCCCUUGGGCAUAAAAACAGUAUUAUUCAGCAGUGAAUAGAUAACCUUAAAGUGGUUGGCUGGACUAAGGAGUUCCAUGUGCCAACAAUAUGGUGUAUACCACUGCUGGAAUAUGCUCCGGAAAACUCAGUGCUUGCCUCUUACUGUGUGAGUGUAUUUCAGCAGUGAGGGAGCAGUGGUUAAAUCCAAGAGUGGAGGCUGAGGUGUUUCUUCUCUUUCCUGACUUCUUGCAACUUCUGUGUUACAUUUCUUCUUCAUGCUCUGAAACUGGAGGAUGUUUCUUCUCCUCAUAGUUGUAUCAGCCUGUAGGCAUGAAUUCCUGUACAGUUUUAUAAAAGGAACGAACCAAAUAAACAUAGUGAACUGUGUUUUACACGAAACAGAAAUGCGUAGCUUCAUAACCUCAGGAGGGUAAUUUGCAUGUCUUUCACCUUCCCAGUGUAGCUGUAAUCUGGACUGAUGAAGCAAAUAUUCAAGAGGAUUUAGGAAGAAAAAACAAGUAGUGGUUUUAAAGAGGUGUUAAACAAACAUGGAUGUUAAUGCUAGUUAUGAGAGAACUGAAGUCUAAAGUACAAGUUUCUGUAGACAAAUGGAGAUGCAACACAAAGGGCUGAUGAUGAAGGAUGUUGCAAAUGUCUGCAUUUCAGAAGACGCUGCUUAUAAGAUGACUAAAUGCAUACAGAAUGGAAAUGAUCGAGUAAGCCAUUCAGUAGUGGGCCUGCAUUUUUUUUUGCUGCUGACACACAUACAGAAGCGUUUGUGUUGUAAUUGUUGCCCAUCAUGUUCCUCACAAAAUUGAACUCUGCGUGGGCUUUAAGAUCGACCACACUGCUUUGUAUUCAGGCUUCCUGCCAUCUUUUGGGUGGACUGUUCUUGAGCUAAGAGGAGGUAAAUUUGGAAAGUCAACUAUUUCUCCGGAGCCCCUCAUCUUUCUUAGGCUGCAUCCUUGUAUUGCUUCAAGCAGGUCCUUCUGUUCCAGAGAACCGUGUGUAUAUGUGUGUGUAUAUAUAUAUGUGUAUAUAUAUGUAUAUAUCCAUAUAUAACCCCAUGGAUACCUUGUCACUUAUGACAUAUCUCUGUGGAGUCAUUUGAAUGUACUUAACGUUGUUAAUAUUAACUAGUACAUGAGUACUAAAUAUUUAUCUUAAAUGUUAUCAGUAUAAAAAUGCUACUAAUAUCCAAUUAAAUAUCCAAUUAGAGGAUACUGGAAAUGGCUUGCUGCUGCUGUUCUUCAUGGGGUGUCAACUUGCUUUUAAAUUUUAAACCCUUUUUUUGUAAAUUUCUUCCAAGUUUCCACUUGAGGCAUUCAAUAUGUGUGGAUGGAUUUAAAUAUCCUUCAGCUGAGUCUGCAAAGCUGAUUUCUUUUUUUCUAGUAGGUCAAGUUUAAAAAUAUAUACUUUCUGUGUAACUUUCAAAGCUCUAGAUGAGAGGGCAAGUUAGUAAGCUUGCCUCUAUUUAUUGGUCUACACUAAACUUGACUUUCAUUACCCUACCUGUCUUUAUAGCUUUUACAGUGUAAUACUUGUGCCGAAUAAUGGAGAGGUUAAACAAAUGCAGUUUCUCAAACUUCACCAGAACAGCAGUAAAAAGGUCAGAUUUUAUUUAGUGUGCCGUGACUAAAAUGACAAAAAAAAAAAAAGGGUUGUGAAGGGCCAAUAGCUGCUAAACCAUCGAGUUUCCUGUAGCAGCUGAAGUACUACUUAAUUCUUGGCCAUAUUUAAUUAAAAAUAAAAAAGCCUUUUUUCCCUCCUCUCUUGAAAAAUCAAGGGGUAAGAUUGGGAACUUCAGUCAAUUUUUGUCUGGUUUCAACUUAACUUGAAUCUUUCUCUGGAAAGGUAAUUUCAGUAAGCAUAGCACUUCGUUUUCUUCUGUUAAGUUAAUACUGGAGAAAACCUGCAUUCCUGACCUCCCUUAGCUGCCUGCACUGGCACUUAGGCUGUCAGCCCAGCCCACCCCCCGUGCAGCAGGAAGAAAUGCAUUUCUCUGUUGAUCUGAUUUCCCUUCUUUCUCUGCCCCCAGCUUUGUGGAGAUUUUUUGCAACGCUGAACUAUAGAAUAUUAAAUGCUUCAUCUCUCACUUGCAAGCUAACUUGUGGCCCUGCAAUUUUGAAUGUGGGUAUGUAGACUCUCUGGAUGUUCUUGAGUAUUGCAACCCUGAAGCAGUUCAGUAACUUGUUUGAAGAGCUACAGCUUAGCCAUUGUUGCGAAAGACUCUUGGAUAGUUCUCUGCAAGAGGAGAAGGCAUAAAACUCUUCCCUGUGUGUGACUUUUGCUAGAAGAUAUUGAUGAAGCUGAUAAUUAACCAUAUAAAAGUAUAGCGUUAGAGGAAGUAAAAUAUGAGAGGUUUUGUAAGCUUGAAGGAUCUAGUUUUUACUUUCUAGUUGGCUUUCAAGCUGCCCCAACAUCUUAUAUUGUUUAUUUUGCUUUCAGUGUGGUGGUUGCUCCAAAUAAUUAUUUUCUUCAGUUCAGUUAUGUGUAAAUUCAGACCGACUUCCUCCAAAAAGACAAUGUGUUGGGGAAAAGCUAGCUUCUAAAAAGACUUGAACAGUUACCACCUUACCACCUACUGCUUUAACUGGUA